GAUGAACGCUGGCGGCGUGCUUAACACAUGCAAGUCGAACGGAAAGGCUCCUGCUUGCAGGGGUACUCGAGUGGCGAACGGGUGAGUAACACGUGGGUGAUCUGCCCUGCACUUCGGGAUAAGCCUGGGAAACUGGGUCUAAUACCGGAUAGGACGAUGGUUUGGAUGCCAUUGUGGAAAGUUUUUCGGUGUGGGAUGAGCUCGCGGCCUAUCAGCUUGUUGGUGGGGUAAUGGCCUACCAAGGCGUCGACGGGUAGCCGGCCUGAGAGGGUGUACGGCCACAUUGGGACUGAGAUACGGCCCAGACUCCUACGGGAGGCAGCAGUGGGGAAUAUUGCACAAUGGGCGCAAGCCUGAUGCAGCGACGCCGCGUGGGGGAUGACGGCCUUCGGGUCGUAAACUCCUUUCGCUAGGGACGAAGCGCAAGUGACGGUACCUGGAGAAGAAGCACCGGCUAACUACGUG
RNAcentral lists this ribosomal RNA (465 nucleotides) under uncultured bacterium. RNAcentral describes it as "partial 16S ribosomal RNA". It matches the Rfam family "Bacterial small subunit ribosomal RNA", at positions 28 to 507 of the family's 1533-position model. The record is from RNAcentral.